This 1685-nucleotide long non-coding RNA is filed under the name Homo sapiens (human). Its description in RNAcentral is "non-protein coding lnc-TEX9-6:5". The record is from RNAcentral. Lineage: Eukaryota; Metazoa; Chordata; Mammalia; Primates; Hominidae.
GGCUCGGGUGGGAUGAGCGCGCGCGGCGGGGACCAUGGCGUGGGGAGCGCGCGUGGCGGGGCGCGCCCUCGGUCCCUUCCCGGGAGGUGGGUGGUUGACGGGCCCGCCGGGGAGCCAGGGAGCGCCGGGAAGCGCCGGGAAGCCAAGCUGCAGUGUUCCUCAGCAACAAGUCUCGCUGAGAUCCGACCCAGAGUUCGGCCUCUGACUAGACGCCUGGGAAUCCGUGAGCUUAAUCCCCGCUUAAAUCCCAAACGGAAAAUCAUAGCGCUUUCUUGUCGGUUAAGGGUGUCAUUCCCAUAAGAAGCUGGACCUGGGGACCGCCAGGGAAAGCCUGAGCGUGGCAGCAAAUGGGGAGGCCUGGAGGGAUCGCAGCAGUCUUGGACUCGGGAUCUGAAAUUCUCUCCCUAGGAUUUGUAAACAGUGCCAGUUCCUAAGCUAUUUGUUGUCCUAUGGUCUGUCCAUCUUUAAAUCCCACCAGUAACAAUCCAAUCUCCAGGCUGACCCUCUAAACCUGCUUUAGCUGGGCGUUGAUCCGCAGCACCACCAGAAGGCAGUGACGAAGAGGGAAAAAUAAAGUGAACUAGGACCUCCUGUAGAAUAACUCCUCCUGUGGAAUAACUCCUCCUGUGGAAUAAGACUCCAGGUUCUUCGGGGACUCUUGGACUUACACCAGCGUUUUGCCGGGGGCUCUGUCGGCUGCACUGUCAGUUUCCCUACUUUUGAGACUUUUGGACUCGGACUGAGCCACUACUGGCUUCCUUCUUUCUCAGCUUGGAGACAGCCUAUCAUGGACUUCGCAUUGUGAUCGUAUGGUGCUGUAAUGGAAAUCCUUUAUUUGUGACUCUUGUGGCCUUGUGUGAGAGUUUUUUCCUAAGAUGGACUACAGAGAACCAGAGAGAGUUUUAAAUGUCUUAUUACCAGAACUUAAAGACCUUUAAGCAGAUGCAUGUAAAAAAAUGAUGGUACUUGACAGUCCAGCUGCCACAAUGCUUUCAAAAAACUGGAUUUCUACUGGAUUCUUCAAGAUUACAAAGUUACAGCCUUAACAAACAGUUUGCUGAUAGGCUGUGGGGAGAGUGGAGAAAGAUGAGGUUGGACAAAAAAGUUUCCUCUGAGAUGUGAGAGUAAUCUACAUAUUAAGAAUUGCUGCUAAAAAGAAGAGACCACUAUCUAGUUGCAGAAAAACAAGCAGGCUCCCACUGAUUCUACAUUAUGGUUGUGGACAAGGAAGACAAAGAGUGCAUGAACUGCCUGGUGAUGAAAGCCAUGGUGCAGUGGCGGCGGCGACUGCAACAAGACCCAGGCAGGAAAGGCGCGUGUGGUGUUGGGACCAGCAGACGGGCAGCCUCUGAGGCCAUUUUCUAUUUUUGAAUAAAAUGAUACUACUAAUUUUAUCUGCAAAUAAGUUUUGUUCAAAUGACAAUGUAUGCUCAACAUUAAUAUUUUUCUAAUUUUUUAAAUUGAUGAUUGUUGAUAAUUGAUAAUGACAGGCAUUGAACUUCCUGUUUUGCUGAUUUUUAACUUUUACAAAAAUUUUAAUUAAAUAGUAUCAGUCUGGUAUUUUGGUAUUAGAUUUUAAAAAACAAAAUUUCAGUACCAUAAUUGUGCUGUGGUAUCAUAACUAUUACAUUUAUGGAACAUGCUAACUACUCAUCUUCUAAAUCUUUCAAGAUUUACAUCUCAAG